GGAAAGGCGCGCGAUACAGGGUGACAGCCCCGUACACAAAAAUGCACAUGCUGUGAGCUCGAUGAGUAGGGCGGGACACGUGGUAUCCUGUCUGAAUAUGGGGGGACCAUCCUCCAAGGCUAAAUACUCCUGACUGACCGAUAGUGAACCAGUACCGUGAGGGAAAGGCGAAAAGAACCCCGGCGAGGGGAGUGAAAAAGAACCUGAAACCGUGUACGUACAAGCAGUGGGAGCACGCUUAGGCGUGUGACUGCGUACCUUUUGUAUAAUGGGUCAGCGACUUAUAUUCUGUAGCAAGGUUAACCGAAUAGGGGAGCCGAAGGGAAACCGAGUCUUAACUGGGCGUUAAGUUGCAGGGUAUAGACCCGAAACCCGGUGAUCUAGCCAUGGGCAGGUUGAAGGUUGGGUAACACUAACUGGAGGACCGAACCGACUAAUGUUGAAAAAUUAGCGGAUGACUUGUGGCUGGGGGUGAAAGGCCAAUCAAACCGGGAGAUAGCUGGUUCUCCCCGAAAGCUAUUUAGGUAGCGCCUCGUGAAUUCAUCUCCGGGGGUAGAGCACUGUUUCGGCAAGGGGGUCAUCCCGACUUACCAACCCGAUGCAAACUGCGAAUACCGGAGAAUGUUAUCACGGGAGACACACGGCGGGUGCUAACGUCCGUCGUGAAGAGGGAAACAACCCAGACCGCCAGCUAAGGUCCCAAAGUCAUGGUUAAGUGGGAAACGAUGUGGGAAGGCCCAGACAGCCAGGAUGUUGGCUUAGAAGCAGCCAUCAUUUAAAGAAAGCGUAAUAGCUCACUGGUCGAGUCGGCCUGCGCGGAAGAUGUAACGGGGCUAAACCAUGCACCGAAGCUGCGGCAGCGACGCUGAUGCGUUGUUGGGUAGGGGAGCGUUCUGUAAGCCUGCGAAGGUGUGCUGUGAGGCAUGCUGGAGGUAUCAGAAGUGCGAAUGCUGACAUAAGUAACGAUAAAGCGGGUGAAAAGCCCGCUCGCCGGAAGACCAAGGGUUCCUGUCCAACGUUAAUCGGGGCAGGGUGAGUCGACCCCUAAGGCGAGGCCGAAAGGCGUAGUCGAUGGGAAACAGGUUAAUAUUCCUGUACUUGGUGUUACUGCGAAGGGGGGACGGAGAAGGCUAUGUUGGCCGGGCGACGGUUGUCCCGGUUUAAGCGUGUAGGCUGGUUUUCCAGGCAAAUCCGGAAAAUCAAGGCUGAGGCGUGAUGACGAGGCACUACGGUGCUGAAGCAACAAAUGCCCUGCUUCCAGGAAAAGCCUCUAAGCAUCAGGUAACAUCAAAUCGUACCCCAAACCGACACAGGUGGUCAGGUAGAGAAUACCAAGGCGCUUGAGAGAACUCGGGUGAAGGAACUAGGCAAAAUGGUGCCGUAACUUCGGGAGAAGGCACGC
This 1402-nucleotide ribosomal RNA is filed under the name Escherichia coli. RNAcentral's name for it is "bacterial LSU rRNA". It matches the Rfam family "Bacterial large subunit ribosomal RNA", at positions 344 to 1751 of the family's 2925-position model. The record is from RNAcentral. Lineage: Bacteria; Pseudomonadati; Pseudomonadota; Gammaproteobacteria; Enterobacterales; Enterobacteriaceae.